RNA transcript from Chenopodium quinoa (quinoa), 3980 nucleotides. It is a transcript of the gene named isoleucine--tRNA ligase, chloroplastic/mitochondrial-like, with no coding region annotated. Lineage: Eukaryota; Viridiplantae; Streptophyta; Magnoliopsida; Caryophyllales; Amaranthaceae. The record is from RefSeq and is a predicted model, not a curated record. The transcript is spliced from 12 exons.
CUCCUAAAUUAAAUGUCAAUUAUGCCAUUAAACCCCGACUCCGUUAUCUUUUCCACGUUGACUAUUACGCUGCACCAUUAAACCCCUUAUCUCUCUUUCUCUAACUCUCCUCCAUUGAAGUAGCUUCUGAGCUUUCUUUCCUCCAUUGAAGCAGCUUCUGAGGAAGGAACUAUGAAAAUGGACCUUUUCUCCCUGAGCCCGGGGCGGCUGCCGCUCUUGCCUUGGCUCAGGGACGGACCUGAUUGCUUGCUGUUGUUUAAUAUCAGAGGUAGCUCUGCUGUUAGAAUUGCAAAUAGAUUUCCGUAUUGUACGCGAACAAGUGGUGUGCAGGAUCUACCAUCUUCCAAGCGAAGGUCUCGUGGACCGGUCAUGGCAGCAAAGAAAGGGUCUGGCGGUACAGAACAAGAUGGAAAGUACAAAGACUCUGUUAAUUUGCCUAAGACGAAUUUUGGUAUGAGGGCCAAUUCCGUAGUGAGGGAGCCUGAAAUUCAGAAAUUAUGGGAAGACAAUCAAGUUUUCAAGCGAGUUGUAGAGAGAAAUGACGGGGGUCCUUUCAUUCUUCAUGAUGGUCCACCAUAUGCUAAUGGAGAUUUACACAUUGGGCAUGCUUUAAAUAAGAUUUUGAAGGAUAUAAUUAACAAAUACAAGCUUCUUCAAAAUCACGAGGUUCAUUAUAUUCCUGGUUGGGAUUGUCAUGGCCUUCCAAUUGAGUUAAAAGUUUUGCAGUCUAUGGAUCAAGAAUCCAGAAAGGAGCUCACUCCAUUAAAACUGAGAGCUAAGGCAGCAAAAUUUGCUAAAGAGACUGUUAAAAAUCAGAUGGCUUCAUUUAAACGCUAUGGAGUCUGGGCUUCUUGGGAGAAGCCUUAUAUGACUCUGGAUCCUGCUUAUGAAGCUGCCCAGAUUGAAGUUUUUGGCCAAAUGGCCCUUAAAGGGUAUAUUUAUAGGGGCAGAAAACCAGUUCACUGGAGUCCCUCAUCACGAACAGCUCUGGCAGAGGCUGAACUGGAAUACCCCGAGGGACAUGUUUCAAAGAGCAUAUAUGCCAGUUUUAAAGUGGUUGAACUGUCUUCAACUUCCUGUAGCUUAUUGGAGGAAUUCCUUCCAGACCUUUGUUUGGCUAUAUGGACCACAACUCCAUGGACUAUUCCAGCUAAUGCAGCUGUUGCGGUAAAUGCAAAACUCAGUUAUUCUGUUGUUGAAGUACUUUCACCUGAAGAAGUUGAUGGAGUGUCUCCUUCUAGUGGAAAGAAAAGGUUUGGUAGUAUUUUAGGAACAUUGAAAAAACCUAGUCUUAUAGUAGCCACAGAUCUUGUAGAAACCUUGGAAGCUAAAUGGGGAGUGAAACUCCUUGUCAAGAGAACAUUUUUGGGCUCAGAUAUAGAAAAUUGCAAAUAUUCACAUCCGAUUGAUAAACGAGAAUGCCCGGUGGUGGUAGGAGGUGACUAUAUCACAACUGAAUCGGGAACUGGACUUGUACACACAGCCCCUGGUCAUGGCCAGGAGGAUUACGUAACUGGCCUGAAAUAUAAAUUGCCUAUCUUAUCACCUGUGGAUGAUGAUGGAAAGUUCACAGCAGAAGCUGGACAAUUUUGUGGGCUAAAUGUACUGGGGGAUGGCAAUUUGGCUGUUGUUGAUUUCUUGGACGAAUGCUCAUCACUUAUUAUAGAAGAACCCUACAAGCACAAGUAUCCCUAUGAUUGGCGAACCAAAAAGCCUACUAUAUUCAGAGCCACUGAGCAGUGGUUUGCAUCAGUUGAAGGGUUCCGACAGGCAGCGAUGGAAGCAAUUAGCAGGGUGAAAUGGAUCCCAGCUCAGGCAGAAAAUAGGAUCUGCACUAUGACUGCAAGUCGCUCCGACUGGUGUAUUUCUAGGCAGAGGACAUGGGGUGUCCCAAUUCCUGUAUUCUAUCAUAGAGUGUCAAAGGAACCUUUAAUGAAUCAAGAGACUAUCAAUCAUAUUCAGUCUAUAAUAUCUGAGAAGGGAAGUGAUGCUUGGUGGUAUAUGACUGUAGAAGAAUUACUUCCUGAGAAAUAUCGUGAUAAAGCAUCGGAAUAUGAGAAGGGUUUUGAUACCAUGGAUGUUUGGUUUGACUCUGGCUCGUCUUGGGCUGCCAUUUUGCAGAAUAGAGAAGGUCUCAGCCUUCCAGCAGACUUGUAUUUUGAAGGAUCAGAUCAGCAUCGUGGGUGGUUUCAAAGUUCUUUGUUAACUAGUGUUGCUACUAGGGGAAUUGCUCCAUAUUCUGGUGUUAUAACUCAUGGAUUUGUACUGGAUGAAAAGGGUUUAAAGAUGAGCAAGUCCUUGGGUAAUGUUGUAGAUCCUCGAGUCGUAAUUGAUGGUGGUAAAAACCAAAAAGAUUCACCAGCCUAUGGAGCAGAUGUCCUCAGACUUUGGGUGUCUAGUGUAGAUUAUACAGGUGAUGUGUUGAUUGGAGCACAGAUUCUUCGUCAGAUGUCUGAUAUAUAUCGAAAGCUUCGUGGAACUCUGCGGUAUCUUUUGUCAAACCUGUACGAUUGGAAGGAAGAGAAUACUGUUUCUUACAAUGAUUUGCCAAUGAUUGAUCAACAUGCACUCUAUCAGUUGGAAAAUGUUGUCAAGAACAUUACUGAUAGCUAUGAAAAGUAUCAAUUUUUUAAAAUAUUUCAGAGUAUCCAAAGGUUUGUGAUUGUUGAUCUGUCAAAUUUCUAUCUUGACGUUGCUAAAGAUCGUCUGUAUAUUGGGGGAUUGACGAGCUUUACAAGAAGAAGUUGCCAAACUGUUCUGGCAGCACAUCUUCUUUCAAUUGUGAGGGUUAUUGCUCCAAUAUUGCCACAUUUGGCUGAGGAUGUCUGGCAGAACCUGCCAUUCCAGUUUGCUAAUGAUGAUGGCUCCACAGCAAAAUAUGUUUUUGAGUCAAGAUGGCCAGUGCUAAACGAGCAGUGGCUUGCUUUUCCUGAUGAUGAAGUACAGUUUUGGUCCAAAGUUCUUGAGUUGCGAACUGAGGUAAAUAAGGUACUGGAAUUUGCUCGAACUGAAAAGUUAAUUGGGUCCAGCUUAGAAGCAAAGGUUUAUAUUCACACCCCGGAUGCAAGCCUUGCCAAAAGAUUGAAUCAGAUGUGUGAAGCAGAGAACGACGCUGAUUCACUUAAUCGUCUUUUUAUUACCUCCCAGGCUGAGGUUAUUUCGUCUUUGGAGAAUAAUCCUAGUGAGAAAAUACCAUACACCGGGGAGUAUGUUAUUCAAGGAAGUGAUAAUAAGGUCUGGAUUGGUGUAUCAAGAGCAGAUGGCUCAAAAUGUGAAAGAUGUUGGAAUUACUCAACCCAAGUUGGUUCCUUCACUGAGCAUCCUACUCUUUGUCCUCGUUGCUAUAAUGUUGUCGACGUUCAGCCAAUCCCAGAACUAGCUGCUGUCAAUUGAAAUCUUGAAGAAGACUGCACGAUUUAUUUCAUGGUUAACCAGCAUUAAUUGGGUGCGUAUUGCCUCAAAUGAGUUUUUUGUAGCUGCAAAGUCUUGGUAGAAUAUUGUUGGUAAUUGAUUAACCUUUACUGUGGCUAGAAGGUUAUAGCUGGCUUCGUCAUACAGCAUCAGGUGUAGCAUUGGAAUAUCCCUCUUAAAUUUGGUGGUGUUGAGAAAAGGGCGACUGCAAGAGGGCAUUUGUUGAACUCGUAAGUGUAAAAGUUCAAACAUCCAGCAUCAGAGGCGGAUGCAUAUCUGCACAUGCUAUUUCUUUGUCCCUCAGCUGCAGCAGCUGAGUUCUGGCCUAUCAUGCCGCCUCGUCUUGGAGCAUGAGAUAUCUUCAGUUGUAAAAUUUCACUGACUACUGUUGCAGGUUUUUGGGUAGAGUCGUAGAGAAGUCAUGUGUAUAUUCCCAUUGGUCUAUAUGUGUAUUUAUUCUUUUGACAUUUUCUAUCGAAGAUGAACGGAUGAAAGAAGAGGAGGAAGAAGAUGAACUAGAGUGUAAAUUACAAAUAUAUCCCUCAAUUUAUACAAAAAUUUACGUGAAA